AUGCUGGUGGUGCUGGUGGCACUGGUGGUUUCCUCAUUUCUCCUCCCUGAGGGGUCAUUGUCCCUCCAGCAGCAGAGGGAUGCUGGUGGUGCUGGUAGCACUGGUGGUGUUGGCAGCACUGUUGAAGGAUCUGGGUGCUUGUCAGAAACAACUCCCAUUCUGAGAAGAGCUCCAGAAUCAUUGCCAAAACCUCCCCUGGCUCAUGGGAGCACGCCCGGGCCAUGGACUCCCAUUUCUAUCAUUCCAGUGCAGGCUCACACCACCCAAGGGAAGGACAGCAAUCAGCUGCUUGCAGCCCAGUUAUCAGCACUUAGAGCCACCCUAAUUACUGCCAAUCCCAUUGAUAAUGCAAUGAAAGCUUUUAGAGACCACAGUGCUGUGAUCCUCCUUCCAGCCCUGCACCAGAGCUCCUGCUCCUCCUCAGUCCUGGGGACACCUGUGGUAUUUUCUACCUGAUCUCAUAUUGGCCCUUUGCCAGCAGUGACACCUUCUACAAUGCCAGGUUCCCCCGAUCCCCAUCCAACCUGGCCUUAUCUCUUCCAGGGAUGGGGCAGCCACAGCCUCUCUGGGCAAUCCGUGCCAGGGCCUCAGCCUUCCCUGACAGGGAAGGAUUUCUUCCCAAUAUCCAAUCUGAACCCACCCUCUGUCGGUUUGAAGCCAUUCCCCCUUGUCAAUACUCUCUCUCCAUCUUUCUUGGUGGCUCCUUCAGGUACUUGAAGGCCACAAGAAGGUCUCUCUCAUGCCAUUGUCCAAAGUCCCUCUCCAACUCUCCAGAAGCCUCUUUAGCUCAUGGAAAAUGAAGUGUUUGCACUUGCAAGGAUUGGCCUGGUGAGGGGAUGUGAGAUUCCAUAACUGGGGACACAAAUGGAGUGUCAGCAGGGAAGGCCCACCCUCUCUCAGGGAGAAGCAAUUCCUCCUUGUCCUGUCUCUCAUGCCAUUGUCCAAAGUCCCUCUCCAACUCUCCAGAAGCCUCUUUAGCUCAUGGAAAAUGAAGUGUUUGCACUUGCAAGGAUUGGCCUGGUGAGGGGAUGUGAGAUUCCAUAACUGGGGACACAAAUGGAGUGUCAGCAGGGAAGAGAAGUGACAUUUCUGGUAUCAGGGUCACCUGAAGUGCCAGUUUCCAGCAGGAGCAUGCCAGAUCCCUGAGGCAUGUCAGCCUGGAUAGGAAUCAUCUCACCUGAGCUUUCCAGGAAUUCCUUGGAAUUCACUGUAAGCUGCUGUCUGACUUCCAGGGGAGUGUAGAAGAUGAUUUAGGUGAAACCUGCAACUUUCUAGAGGUUGUAGCCACGGGAGCUGCUCUUGGGGUUUUGUUUUCUUUUCUUGUGUCUUGGCUGUGUAUUUUUUCCCAUGGAUAUGCGAAGAAGCACUGAUGGCUAGGUCCUUGUGGAGGCAGUGGGGGGAAAUGUGUGGCGGAACCUCCUGUUUUUUUGGGAGUUUCUCUCUUGGGGUGGGGUGGGAGCACCAUGCGAUUGGAAGCAGGAAAAGGAGGAUGGGGGGUCAGUUGC
Molecule: long non-coding RNA, 1505 nt
Filed under: Ficedula albicollis (Collared flycatcher)
Lineage: Eukaryota; Metazoa; Chordata; Aves; Passeriformes; Muscicapidae
Description: lncRNA (ENSFALG00000027147.1)
Source: RNAcentral